Molecule: ribosomal RNA, 481 nt
Filed under: uncultured bacterium
Lineage: Bacteria
Description: bacterial SSU rRNA
Rfam family: Bacterial small subunit ribosomal RNA
Source: RNAcentral
AGAGUUUGAUCCUGGCUCAGGAUAAACGCUGGCGGCGCACAUAAGACAUGCAAGUCGAACGGACUUAAUCGAUUCUUUUAGAUUCGAAGCGGUUAGUGGCGGACUGGUGAGUAACACGUAAGCAACCUGCCUAUUAGAGGGGAAUAACAGUGAGAAAUCACUGCUAAAACCGCAUAUGCCGUGAACAUCGCAUGAUGAAAACGGGAAAAGAGCAAUCUGCUAAUAGAUGGGCUUGCGUCUGAUUAGCUAGUUGGUGUGGUAAAGGCAUACCAAGGCAACGAUCAGUAGCCGGACUGAGAGGUUGAACGGCCACAUUGGGACUGAGAUACGGCCCAGACUCCUACGGGAGGCAGCAGUCGGGAAUAUUGCGCAAUGGAGGAAACUCUGACGCAGUGACGCCGCGUAUGGGAAGAAGGUUUUCGGAUUGUAAACCAUUUUAGACAAGGAAGAAAGAAGACAGUACUUGUAGAAUAAGCUCCGG